RNAcentral lists this long non-coding RNA (424 nucleotides) under Vulpes vulpes (red fox). Its description in RNAcentral is "lncRNA (ENSVVUG00000015531.1)". The record is from RNAcentral. Lineage: Eukaryota; Metazoa; Chordata; Mammalia; Carnivora; Canidae.
CAGUGAUUAUGAUUCUUCCAUCUUAGACAGCAGGAGUAGUAGAAAACAGGCUCAUGGAUUCCCAAGCUCCAGGACUCAGCAGGAUUCCAUGUUCCUGAGUUGGUGUUUUAAAGAACAUGAGGGAACUGCAAGAAAGAUCUGGCUCCCAUCUGAGCGGGAGAGCAAGUCAUCCCCUGAGACUUCUAGUGACAAAGCUCCAUUCCCAUAUUUUCAGAAGAAGGCACUAAAUAAACUUUCUGAUUCAGUAGCCAGAACACCUGGUGCCAUCUGGAGUCUACUCAAAUCAUGGAAAAACAGAAUGGUACUGUAUACCCAAUGGGAACAACAGAUUACCAGGCUCCCUGUGUCUGAAGAAUCAUCUUCUGCCUGAAAGUAUCUUCCCACCUCCUCAAUUUCUCCUCAGGUUCUUUCCUCCUGCUGGAAG